This 521-nucleotide RNase MRP RNA is filed under the name Sungouiella intermedia. Its description in RNAcentral is "Candida intermedia RNase MRP". It matches the Rfam family "RNase MRP". Rfam says of the family: RNase MRP is an enzymatically active ribonucleoprotein with two distinct roles in eukaryotes. Lineage: Eukaryota; Fungi; Ascomycota; Pichiomycetes; Serinales; Metschnikowiaceae. The record is from Rfam by way of RNAcentral.
UUCAUAGACAAAGAUUUGCUUUCAAAGCUUACCAAAUGACCACCGUGCCAUCGCCUCUUUUGGCAAAUGCUUUGGGGAAAGUCUCCGGCCGUCACAGCGGAAACGCAGCGAUUCUUGAGGUCGUUUCGCCCUCUGUUCUGUUUCUACUCGGAGCCCAGCCAUUUCGUUUUGUCUGCUUAGUUAGUAUCCUCUUUUCUACUUGAUCAGUAUCCUCAUUAGUGGAGCUAUAAUUCCCGUGCAUCAAUCCCUUUUGGAUCUCGUGAGCUUCGGCUCUAUGAUGACAUUUGGUUGUUUCGCGAGUUUGGAAUGCUGGCCAAUGUGGAAUUGAGGUUUCCAGCUAGGUAUAAAGGACGACAUGGGAUGCUGGGUGGACUGGAAUAAGUAAUAGAGGCGCUUACUUCAUAUCUCCACGGAGGUCUGAAGAUUCGUCAUUCGGCAAUGGGAUUUUGUAUCCUAAACCAUAGAUAUAGCAAGUGGCCAUGUAUCAUGGCCAACCCAAUGGAGCUCACUCUUGUUUAUGA